Long non-coding RNA from Puntigrus tetrazona (Sumatra barb), 366 nucleotides. RefSeq lists it as uncharacterized. NCBI's taxonomy places the organism in Eukaryota, Metazoa, Chordata, Actinopteri, Cypriniformes, Cyprinidae. The record is from RefSeq and is a predicted model, not a curated record. The transcript has 3 exons.
UCACCUCAGUUCAGAAGAACAUAUUCUACUGAUUUCUGUGAAGAAAGACAAAACAGGAAAUAAUCUCCUGACCAACUACAAUCAAACAGUACUCGACUGAAAAUUGCCACAGACGCAUUGAUCACCACAAUCUCCUUAAAUAUUUUAGGAGCAAAAGAGUCAGAUUCAGGCAUAUAUUCCUGUGGAGCAAAGAAAAACACUCCAGAGAUGUUCUUCGAAAAGCUCAUCAGACUCGAGAUCAAGGGUCUGUUUGGAACAGAAAAGCCAAAAGAAGUUGACAUCACAGUAUUGACUACGAAAGAGAGGGCAUUGAUGUUCGGUGGUGUUGGUCUGGCUAUUGCUGUGUUUUUCGUGGCUACAGUCAUC